RNAcentral lists this unclassified non-coding RNA (236 nucleotides) under Hevea brasiliensis (rubber tree). Lineage: Eukaryota; Viridiplantae; Streptophyta; Magnoliopsida; Malpighiales; Euphorbiaceae. The record is from RNAcentral.
AAUGUAGGGAUUGAGAUUCCAACAAACUUUUUCACUGGAGGGAGGUCAGGAAUUUACUAGAGUGAUCUGUGACUUUGGUUAAAAGCCUGUGCCUGAACUUCUAAAUUUUAUAACCAUCAUCAUAACAAGGUUACUCUAAAUUAUUUGAUACUUUAUUUGGUCAUUUUAGUUUUUAUUUCACUUCUUCUGAUAGAAAUAUCUCUUGCCUAAGGCCUUUUUGAAGUGAGGUGUCAUAG